CACUGCUGAAGCACAGGUACACACACACUGCUGAAGCACAGGUACACACACACUGCUGAAGCACGGGUACACACACACUGCUGAAGCACGGGUACACACACACUGCUGAAGCACGGGUACACACACACUGCUGAAGCACGGGUACACACACACUGCUGAAGCACGGGUACACACACACUGCUGAAGCACGGGUACACACACACUGCUGAAGCACGGGUACACACACACUGCUGAAGCACGGGUACACACACACUGCUGAAGCACGGGUACACACACACUGCUGAAGCACGGGUACACACACACUGCUGAAGCACGGGUACACACACACUG
Molecule: long non-coding RNA, 330 nt
Organism: Oncorhynchus keta (chum salmon)
Lineage: Eukaryota; Metazoa; Chordata; Actinopteri; Salmoniformes; Salmonidae
Exons: 3
Source: RefSeq, a predicted model, not a curated record